GGUCCAAUGGCCUGGUGGUCAUGGCGCUCUGCCUUUGGGUUUGACGACAACGUCGGUUCGAAUCCGACUUGGGCAC
This 76-nucleotide transfer RNA is filed under the name Ganoderma leucocontextum. RNAcentral describes it as "tRNA-Lys". The record is from RNAcentral. Lineage: Eukaryota; Fungi; Basidiomycota; Agaricomycetes; Polyporales; Polyporaceae.